This 253-nucleotide ribosomal RNA is filed under the name uncultured bacterium. Its description in RNAcentral is "partial 16S ribosomal RNA". It matches the Rfam family "Bacterial small subunit ribosomal RNA", at positions 524 to 776 of the family's 1533-position model. The record is from RNAcentral.
GACGUAGGGGGCCAGCGUUGCUCGGAAUUACUGGGUGUAAAGGGCGUGUAGGCGGUAUGUUAAGUCUGGCGUGAAAGCUCUCGGCUAAACCGGGAGAGGUCGUUGGAUACUGACACACUAGAGGAUGGUAGAGGCGUGUGGAAUUCCGGGUGUAGUGGUGAAAUGCGUAGAGAUCCGGAGGAACACCAGUGGCGAAGGCGACACGCUGGGCCAUACCUGACGCUAAAGCGCGACAGCAUGGGGAGCAAACGGG